This 669-nucleotide long non-coding RNA is filed under the name Rhinopithecus bieti (black snub-nosed monkey). Its description in RNAcentral is "lncRNA (ENSRBIG00000045841.1)". The record is from RNAcentral. Lineage: Eukaryota; Metazoa; Chordata; Mammalia; Primates; Cercopithecidae.
AAAUCCAUGUACUUUGUACAUAAUUCAUAAUUUUAAAAUGGCAGGGCUGCUGCAUAAGGAGGCCUCACCCCCAUGUGGGGACAUCAGGUGUGCUGAUGAAAGAUGAUGACCUCCACAAAGAUGUCAAGACAUGUAUGGGAUAUGAAAGGGAAGCUCACAUGGGUGGACCUGAAGCUCCUGAAAGACAAUAAGCAAUGCUUACAAUUGUUUCAGAAGGAGGCUGCUCCUUCAGGCUCAUCCCAGAAUGAGAAGAGAUGCAGAGCUGCAGUGAACCAUGGGUGAGAAAUGGACUUCAGCUCUUGAACAGCAUCCAGCUGUGGCAAAAGAGAACAUUAACUGUAACUUGAAGACUGAAUCCAAGGUGAGCAUAAGAAGAAAGCUGCUGGCGUCUGUAGCAACAUGGCUAUGAAGUCCAGCCUCAUCGAAGUCCAGAUGGCCUCCGUUUCCAGGACUAUGUUUCUUUAAUACUGUCUGCCUGGAGUCUCCUCUCCCUUCAAUCCCCUUCUCACUCCUACCUUGUCUUGACAUCAAUCCUUACAUGUUUUCUGGCUCCUGACAACCUGCUUCAGAGAGUCUAGUCCUGUUUCUGGCAGUGCUGCCUGGGAUCUCUGUCCAACGCAGAAACCAACACAACAACACUUGGGAAAUUCCUAAAUUAAUAAUAAAAAA